GCAUGGCUUUCAACGUUAGCAGAGAAACUAGUUGGAAGUUGUUCGCAGCUCUCAUUUUGUUGAGUUAUUUAUGCCCAUGUCCACACUGUUAUGCUUUGGCUAUAGUGAAGAAGGUUGAGCCAAGCAUUGCAAGCGGUGAGGCAUCAAAAGAGGGUGUCCUAGCGGGAAGUAUUCUCUUUGGCAGCACCGUGGAUCGUGCCGAGUCAUUAACGGGGCUUCUUGGCUCUUAUCAAGCAGAUGAUGCAGGAACAGCUGGCCUUUUUUUGGCUAAUUCGGGUUGGGGGCAAAUGGAUACUUCCUUAAAAUGUGGUGAGGACCAGAUGCAACUCAAAGCCAUGGGACCUGGAUCCUCUUACUUCAUGCUUGACAUGGGGGGUGAUGCUCCCAUGGUGCCGAACCAGGUUAAACCACAAUGUGGCUACUCCAUGAAAUACAACUCUUUGGGUCUUGUGUUGAUGGUUCCUUACAACGGCUGUCAUAUGACGCAAGAUAAUGGAUUUUAUAUACUGCCAAUGCAGUGGAAGGGGACCCAAGUCAAACUCUGUUGCCCCAUUAGGUCAAGUCCUGAAACUACACUUGCCCAUGUUCAUCCUACAGCACCACCUACCAAAUCUCAUGAAGAAGCCACUCCACAGACGGAUACGUCAAAGCAGCCUACAGUCCACCAGCAGCAAAUCAUGGAUCAUCCUUUGAAUCAAAACCCAAACUACCAUCAAUAUCAUAACUGGAUUCAUAUGAUGCAGAAGCAAACCAUGGCCUUUCCCCCGCAGCAGCACGAGGCUGUUCCCCCGCAGCAGCACGUUGCUGUUCCCCCGCAACAGGAGGCUGUUCAGCAGCAGCAGCAUAUGGCUGUUCCCCCU
Gadus macrocephalus (Pacific cod) is the source of this 860-nucleotide long non-coding RNA. RefSeq lists it as uncharacterized. The transcript is spliced from 5 exons. The record is from RefSeq and is a predicted model, not a curated record. NCBI's taxonomy places the organism in Eukaryota, Metazoa, Chordata, Actinopteri, Gadiformes, Gadidae.